GGAUGUGAGGGUAAUCGGGCUGCAACAUCUGUCACCUCAUUAUUUUCCAGGGUUGGUUCAGCUCAUCUGGGUGGUUGGAUGGUUGCCUCUUUUCUCCCUCACCACACCAUGUGAGUCUCUUCUGAGGCUGCACUUAAAGAGGAUGCAGGAUGUCCAAGAAGAUGACCUUCCCUGAGUAGAGAUUGACCUGUCUUCAGUUAUACAUAUAAGAGCAGCUGUGCUCAAGGUCCCAAAAAGAUAUAGAUAUUAGUUGUGGAAAAGUCUUUUAAUGUAUAGAAACUAGAGAAAAGCACCAAGUUAACUACCCUUAUUUAGUUCUGAAAGUCUUGAAGUAGAUAUUCUA
Non-coding RNA from Erinaceus europaeus (western European hedgehog), 343 nucleotides. Lineage: Eukaryota; Metazoa; Chordata; Mammalia; Eulipotyphla; Erinaceidae. The record is from Rfam.